AAUUCCUUCUUGGUAGAGUGAGAAGAGGUCUGAAUGAAAUUUUAGAGGAUGGCUGGAAAGUGGAAACAACAAAACAUACAAAGCAGUAUGAUUCUAAUUCCUGUGGAGUGUAUGUUGUAAAGUUUGCUGAGCUGAUCAUAUCUGAUUUGCCUCUAACAUUUAGUUGUCGUCCAGAUAAUCUGUAUCAAAUUAGACAAGGAAUUGGGAACCAGCUUUUGCAAGCAACAGAACCACUGUUUGAGUACUGCUGGGCAUGCAGUCUUCAUAGAGAAGCAAGACGAAAUGAGGAUUGGGUAUGAU
This is a long non-coding RNA of Saccostrea echinata, 300 nucleotides long. RefSeq lists it as uncharacterized. Lineage: Eukaryota; Metazoa; Mollusca; Bivalvia; Ostreida; Ostreidae. The record is from RefSeq and is a predicted model, not a curated record. The transcript has 3 exons.